RNAcentral lists this ribosomal RNA (919 nucleotides) under uncultured bacterium. RNAcentral's name for it is "bacterial SSU rRNA". It matches the Rfam family "Bacterial small subunit ribosomal RNA", at positions 537 to 1448 of the family's 1533-position model. The record is from RNAcentral.
AGCGUUGUCCGGAUUUAUUGGGCGUAAAGGGCGUGUAGGCGGCCAAGCAAGUCAGGGGUGAAAACCUGGGGCUCAACCCCGGGCCUGCCUCUGAAACUGGUUGGCUUGAGUGCUCUAGAGGGCAGUGGAAUUCCCGGUGUAGCAGUGAAAUGCGUAGAGAUCGGGAGGAACACCAGUGGCGAAGGCGGCUGCCUGGGGAGUAACUGACGCUGAGGCGCGAAAGCUGGGGGAGCAAACAGGAUUAGAUACCCUGGUAGUCCCAGCCGUAAACGAUGAGUGCUAGGUGUGAGGGGUAUCGACCCCCCUCGUGCCGGAGUUAACGCAAUAAGCACUCCGCCUGGGGAGUACGGCCGCAAGGUUGAAACUCAAAGGAAUUGACGGGGGCCCGCACAAGCAGCGGAGCAUGUGGUUUAAUUCGAAGCAACGCGUAGAACCUUACCAGGGCUUGACAUGUAGCGAAGCCCGUAGAAAUACGGGUGUGCCUCCCUAUGGGAGGAACGCUAACACAGGUGGUGCAUGGUUGUCGUCAGCUCGUGUCGUGAGAUGUUGGGUUAAGUCCCGCAACGAGCGCAACCCCUAUCGUAUGUUGCCAGCGUAAAGACGGGCACUCAUGCGAGACUGCCGGUGACAAACCGGAGGAAGGUGGGGAUGACGUCAAAUCAUCAUGCCCCUUAUGUCCUGGGCUACACACGUGCUACAAUGGCCGUCACAAAGCGAACCGAACCCGUGAGGGGGAGGCAAACGCGAAAGGCGGUCGUAGUUCAGAUCGCAGGCUGCAACUCGCCUGCGUGAAGUCGGAAUCGCUAGUAAUCACGGGUCAGCAUACCGUGGUGAAUACGUUCCCGGGCCUUGUACACACCGCCCGUCACACCACGAAAGUUUGCUACACCCGAAGCCGGUGGUCGAACCCGAAAGGGAC